ACUCGAGUGGCGAACGGGUGAGUAACGCGUGGGUGAUCUGCCCUGCACUUCGGGAUAAGCCUGGGAAACUGGGUCUAAUACCGGAUAGGAGCCAUUUUUAGUGUGAUGGUUGGAAAGUUUUUCGGUGUAGGAUGAGCUCGCGGCCUAUCAGCUUGUUGGUGGGGUAAUGGCCUACCAAGGCGGCGACGGGUAGCCGGCCUGAGAGGGUGGACGGCCACAUUGGGACUGAGAUACGGCCAAG
This 241-nucleotide ribosomal RNA is filed under the name uncultured Actinomycetales bacterium. RNAcentral's name for it is "partial 16S ribosomal RNA". It matches the Rfam family "Bacterial small subunit ribosomal RNA", at positions 89 to 334 of the family's 1533-position model. The record is from RNAcentral. Lineage: Bacteria; Bacillati; Actinomycetota; Actinomycetes; Actinomycetales.